Molecule: ribosomal RNA, 300 nt
Filed under: uncultured Alkaliphilus sp.
Lineage: Bacteria; Bacillati; Bacillota; Clostridia; Peptostreptococcales; Natronincolaceae
Description: bacterial SSU rRNA
Rfam family: Bacterial small subunit ribosomal RNA
Source: RNAcentral
GGCUAACUACGUGCCAGCAGCCGGGGUAAUACGUAGGGGGCAAGCGUUAUCCGGAAUCAUUGGGCGUGAAGGGUGCGUAGGCGGCCCUAUGGGUCAGAGGUUAAAGGCUACGGCUCAACCGUAGUAAGCCUUUGAAACUGUAGGGCUUGAGUGCAGGAGAGGAGAGUGGAAUUCCUAGUGUAGCGGUGAAAUGCGUAGAUAUUAGGAAGAACACCAGUGGCGAAGGCGACUCUCUGGACUGCAACUGACGCUGAGGCACGAAAGCGUGGGUAGCGAACAGGAUUAGAUACCCGAGUAGUC